Molecule: ribosomal RNA, 499 nt
Filed under: uncultured bacterium
Lineage: Bacteria
Description: partial 16S ribosomal RNA
Rfam family: Bacterial small subunit ribosomal RNA
Source: RNAcentral
GACGAACGCUGGCGGCGUGCUUAACACAUGCAAGUCGAACGGGCCUGUCUUCUUUUUUGGGGGUGGGUUGAGUGGCGAACGGGUGAGUAUCACGUGAGUAACCUGCCCUUCGGUCCUGGAUAACCGCUUGAAAGGGCGGCUAAUACGGGGUGGUCCGGUUGGUCCGCAUGGGCUGGUCGGGAUAGAUUCACUGUUUUUGGUGUUUCGGCGGGGGAUGGGCUCGCGGCCUAUCAGCUUGUUGGUGGGGUGAUGGCCUACCAAGGCGGUGACGGGUAGCCGGCCUGAGGGGGUGGGCGGCCACACUGGGACUGAGAUACGGCCCAGACUCCUGCGGGAGGCGGCAGUGGGGGGUAUUGCACAAUGGGCGGAAGCCUGAUGCAGCGACGUCGCGUGAGGGAUGGAGGCCUUCGGGUUGUGAACCUCUGUUUCCGGUGGUGAAGGCCCUGUCCGUGUGGUGGGGUUGACGGUAGCCGGGGAUGAAGCGCCGGCUAACUACGUG